GAUGAACGCUGGCGGCGUGCCUAAUACAUGCAAGUCGAGCGAACGGACGAGAAGCUUGCUUCUCUGAUGUUAGCGGCGGACGGGUGAGUAACACGUGGAUAACCUACCUAUAAGACUGGGAUAACUUCGGGAAACCGGAGCUAAUACCGGAUAAUAUUUUGAACCGCAUGGUUCAAAAGUGAAAGACGGUCUUGCUGUCACUUAUAGAUGGAUCCGCGCUGCAUUAGCUAGUUGGUAAGGUAACGGCUUACCAAGGCAACGAUGCAUAGCCGACCUGAGAGGGUGAUCGGCCACACUGGAACUGAGACACGGUCCAGACUCCUACGGGAGGCAGCAGUAGGGAAUCUUCCGCAAUGGGCGAAAGCCUGACGGAGCAACGCCGCGUGAGUGAUGAAGGUCUUCGGAUCGUAAAACUCUGUUAUUAGGGAAGAACAUAUGUGUAAGUAACUGUGCACAUCUUGACGGUACCUAAUCAGAAAGCCACGGCUAACUACGUGCCAGCAGCCGCGGUAAUACGUAGGUGGCAAGCGUUAUCCGGAAUUAUUGGGCGUAAAGCGCGCGUAGGCGGUUUUUUAAGUCUGAUGUGAAAGCCCACGGCUCAACCGUGGAGGGUCAUUGGAAACUGGAAAACUUGAGUGCAGAAGAGGAAAGUGGAAUUCCAUGUGUAGCGGUGAAAUGCGCAGAGAUAUGGAGGAACACCAGUGGCGAAGGCGACUUUCUGGUCUGUAACUGACGCUGAUGUGCGAAAGCGUGGGGAUCAAACAGGAUUAGAUACCCUGGUAGUCCACGCCGUAAACGAUGAGUGCUAAGUGUUAGGGGGUUUCCGCCCCUUAGUGCUGCAGCUAACGCAUUAAGCACUCCGCCUGGGGAGUACGACCGCAAGGUUGAAACUCAAAGGGAUUGACGGGGACCCGCACAAGCGGUGGAGCAUGUGGUUUAAUUCGAAGCAACGCGAAGAACCUUACCAAAUCUUGACAUCCUUUGACAACUCUAGAGAUAGAGCCUUCCCCUUCGGGGGACAAAGUGACAGGUGGUGCAUGGUUGUCGUCAGCUCGUGUCGUGAGAUGUUGGGUUAAGUCCCGCAACGAGCGCAACCCUUAAGCUUAGUUGCCAUCAUUAAGUUGGGCACUCUAAGUUGACUGCCGGUGACAAACCGGAGGAAGGUGGGGAUGACGUCAAAUCAUCAUGCCCCUUAUGAUUUGGGCUACACACGUGCUACAAUGGACAAUACAAAGGGCAGCGAAACCGCGAGGUCAAGCAAAUCCCAUAAAGUUGUUCUCAGUUCGGAUUGUAGUCUGCAACUCGACUACAUGAAGCUGGAAUCGCUAGUAAUCGUAGAUCAGCAUGCUACGGUGAAUACGUUCCCGGGUCU
Molecule: ribosomal RNA, 1372 nt
Filed under: uncultured bacterium
Lineage: Bacteria
Description: bacterial SSU rRNA
Rfam family: Bacterial small subunit ribosomal RNA
Source: RNAcentral